RNAcentral lists this ribosomal RNA (427 nucleotides) under uncultured bacterium. Its description in RNAcentral is "partial 16S ribosomal RNA". It matches the Rfam family "Bacterial small subunit ribosomal RNA", at positions 355 to 774 of the family's 1533-position model. The record is from RNAcentral.
UGGGGAAUAUUGCACAAUGGGCGCAAGCCUGAUGCAGCCAUGCCGCGUGUGUGAAGAAGGCCUUCGGGUUGUAAAGCACUUUCAGCGAGGAGGAAGGGUAGUGUGUUAAUAGCACAUUGCAUUGACGUUACUCGCAGAAGAAGCACCGGCUAACUCCGUGCCAGCAGCCGCGGUAAUACGGAGGGUGCAAGCGUUAAUCGGAAUUACUGGGCGUAAAGCGCACGCAGGCGGUUUGUUAAAUCAGAUGUGAAAUCCCCGCGCUUAACGUGGGAACUGCAUUUGAAACUGGCAAGCUAGAGUCUUGUAGAGGGGGGUAGAAUUCCAGGUGUAGCGGUGAAAUGCGUAGAGAUCUGGAGGAAUACCGGUGGCGAAGGCGGCCCCCUGGACAAAGACUGACGCUCAGGUGCGAAAGCGUGGGGAGCAAACA